Molecule: long non-coding RNA, 241 nt
Filed under: Amborella trichopoda
Lineage: Eukaryota; Viridiplantae; Streptophyta; Magnoliopsida; Amborellales; Amborellaceae
Description: long non-coding RNA (ATRI_LNC002490)
Source: RNAcentral
AAACUACUUCCGUAAUCUCAGGGAUACUCAUCCAACUCAUCCAUAUGAACGUUGGAAAAAAGGCUUUAAUUAUUUACAUAUUACAUUAAAACUAUUGUAUGAAUGGAUAAACUUAAGUAAAACAUGGGAUUCCUCCCAUAAAAUAGUGAAGCCCACAUUUGUAGGCAAAGCCACGUGAGGCUUCAUGGCCAUACGCGUCAAUAUCUUCCACUUGGCUAUGAUGGCCAAACAUAAUAAUAAG